This 1158-nucleotide long non-coding RNA is filed under the name Mus musculus (house mouse). RNAcentral's name for it is "RIKEN cDNA 6330409D20 gene". The record is from RNAcentral. Lineage: Eukaryota; Metazoa; Chordata; Mammalia; Rodentia; Muridae.
AUUCAGGCGGGCUCGGAGCAAGUGUGUGUGUGAGGUUGGGGGAGCUCAGAGGUGAGGUGCCCCGCAUCUCCCAGGAUGCCCAAGAGGCAGGAGUGCAGAGAACCUCUGUCAGGGUCUCAGCCCCUUCCUACCAGCUGGUUUCCCACCACUCCCCUGGCUCCCUUAGGUAUCCCAACCCCAGGCACAGCCACCCCAGAGGAUGCUCUGCAGAGAGGCGGGGUCCGGGUCCUCCCCUCCACCCCCUUCCGUUUAACCCUCGCACCGCCGCUGUGCGCUCCUGCGCUCCUGGGCCAGCUGGACUGGGAGACCUACAACCCAGUACCUCGAGCCCACCCAGAUGGAAGGAAGGUAGUGACACCGUGGUGUCCUCAGCGUGCACUGCGCAUCCUGCCUCUCAUUCAGCCUCUAGACACCAGCCCUGCGUUCCUGGUACAAUAGGGAGCCAGGUGGCCUGGGGUCAGCAGCAGGGACCUCAUAAGUGACAGAAGGAACCCCAUCUCCUAGCCCGAGUUCCAGCUCCAACUCCCUAUCACGUCUCCUGCAGUCUAGAGUCCAAGGAAUGGCACCCUGCACCCGCAUCCCGUGGAGCGCCCUGGUCACCCCGAGGAGGAAGCCUGGUUCACAGCAGACCCCGAGCGCUCUAUCAUAUCUAGCAUACUGUGACCAACCCCCAGCCUACCUUCACAUAGUCCCCAGCGGCCUCCAGCUCUGCAGCAGUCCUGGAAGAAGAAAAAAGAGAACUUCACCUUCAGGAACCUCUGGCCUGGACCAGAAGGAAGAGUGAACUUCCACUAGGAUCCUGAAGAAGUGGAGAAGGAGGCUGCCCCACCCCUCUGCCAGGCGUGGCCUUACCCUCUGUCCUGAGCUUCUUCCUUUGGGCCUUAGGGUCUGGUCAUAAGGCCCGAGAAGAGAUUCGCAGCUCUGACACCUGCUUCCCUCUCUCUGAGGCUUGGCUUCCUCAUCUUCUGAGGGGACAUCAUGUGUGCCUGGAAGGCCAUGAUGCUCAUGUGACCGUCAGUGCCGGGUCCCCUCACCCCAGUGGGUUCCAGAUCCUGGUGCCACUCUCCUGGGGUAUUAGACCUUUCCUUACACAGACCCUGUUUUUGUUUUGCUCAGUUUUGUUAUGUUUUCAAAAUAAACGUCUAGGCUUGUCUCAAA